ACAUGCAAGUCGAACGGACGAUCAGGGCUUGCUCUGAUCGUUAGUGGCGGACGGCUGAGUAACGCGUAGGUGACCUGCCCCGAAGUGGGGGAUAACUGCCCGAAAGGGUGGCUAAUACCGCAUGUGGUGGUUCGUUGCGUUCGAACCAUCAAAGCAGCAAUGCGCUUCGGGAGGGGCCUGCGUCCGAUUAGCUCGUUGGUGGGGUAACGGCUCACCAAGGCGACGAUCGGUAGGUGGUCUGAGAGGACGAUCACCCAGACUGGGACUGAGACACGGCCCAGACUCCUACGGGAGGCAGCAGUCGGGAAUUUUGCGCAAUGGACGAAAGUCUGACGCAGCAACGCCGCGUGAGGGAUGAAGGCCUUCGGGUUGUAAACCUCUUUUGUCAGGGACGAUGAUGACGGUACCUGACGAAUAAGCCACGGCUAACUACGUGCCAGCAGCCGCGGUAAUACGUAGGUGGCAAGCGUUGUCCGGAUUUACUGGGCGUNAGGAGCGCGCAGGCGGUCGUUCAAGUCGCGUGUGAAAGCCCCCGGCUCAACUGGGGAGGGUCACGCGAUACUGAUCGACUCCNAAGGCAGGAGAGGGAAGUGGAAUUCCC
This 601-nucleotide ribosomal RNA is filed under the name uncultured earthworm cast bacterium. Its description in RNAcentral is "bacterial SSU rRNA". It matches the Rfam family "Bacterial small subunit ribosomal RNA", at positions 53 to 671 of the family's 1533-position model. The record is from RNAcentral.